UCCAGACUCCUACGGGAGGCAGCAGUGGGGAAUAUUGCACAAUGGGGGAAACCCUGAUGCAGCAACGCCGCGUGAGUGAAGAAGUAUUUCGGUAUGUAAAGCUCUAUCAGCAGGGAAGAAGAUGACGGUACCUGAUUAAGAAGCCCCGGCUAACUACGUGCCAGCAGCCGCGGUAAUACGUAGGGGGCAAGCGUUAUCCGGAUUUACUGGGUGUAAAGGGAGCGUAGACGGUUAUGUAAGUCUGGAGUGAAAGCCCGGGGCCCAACCCCGGGACUGCUUUGGAAACUGUGUAACUGGAGUACAGGAGGGGCAGGCGGAAUUCCUGGUGUAGCGGUGAAAUGCGUAGAUAUUAGGAGGAACACCAGUGGCGAAGGCGGCUUACUGGACUGUAACCGACGUUGAGGCUCGAAAGCGUAGGGAGCAAACAGGAUUAGAUACCCCAGUA
RNAcentral lists this ribosomal RNA (445 nucleotides) under uncultured bacterium. RNAcentral describes it as "bacterial SSU rRNA". It matches the Rfam family "Bacterial small subunit ribosomal RNA", at positions 330 to 792 of the family's 1533-position model. The record is from RNAcentral.